Piliocolobus tephrosceles (Ugandan red Colobus) is the source of this 1712-nucleotide long non-coding RNA. The record is from Ensembl. NCBI's taxonomy places the organism in Eukaryota, Metazoa, Chordata, Mammalia, Primates, Cercopithecidae.
UUUUUUUUUUUUUUUUCGGUGAAAGCCUAAUUCAACGGAACGCACGCAUAAAAGCUUAUACGCACUUCUACCUCGUACAAAAUUAAUGUGAUUUUUAUGAAUUUUUUAUUUUUCUUUUUUCAUUCCUCAUUUUUCAUUGCUCAUUUCUCAUUUUUCAUUGCUCAUUUCUCAUUUUUCAUUGCUUAUUUCUCUUCUUUUUUUUUUUUUUCACUUUUUUUUAAAUCAUCAACUUUAUUAGCCCUUUUAAAUAUAUAUAUAUAUAUAUAUGUACUUACAGUCUCACGCGUGUUUGUCAAUAUCCCCAUUUUAAUUAUGUUUGUUUAUAUUUAUUUUUUUUUACUUAUUUAUUAUAACACUUAUUUUUUUUUCCUAGGUAAUAUAAUUGACGAUUAUAUUUUUCGCAAUUUUUUUCAGUUAAUAUAUAUAUAUAUAUAUAUAUGUAAGUAUGUAUAUAUACAGAAAACACAAACUCAGAAAAUAUGUCAAACGAACAUGUUGAAGAAAUGAUUGAACAAUCUUUAAAAUCAGGAGAUACAAAUGAGCAUCCUUAUUUUUUACAACAAAAUAAUAUUUACUGGGAAACAGGUCAUAGGACCUACAUCCCUUUUUUCCAUUUUUUAAUACACAAAUAUACUAAUAAAAUAAUAGACGACCAAAUAAGAAAAUUUACGCACAGUGUAAAAAGUGUUCACCACACCCCCUUUGUAUUUCAUAAAGAUGGUUAUUUUCGAAGCUACUAUGCAGACCCUGAUAUUAAUAUAGUUUUUAAUUUAAAAAAAAAUACAAACUUUGUUUUUAAUUCUACUGGUAAUAACAGUUCAUAUAAUAUGUUGACUAAUAAUUCCACAUAUGAUAAACCUACUUACAUAUUUAAUGAAAUUCUUAUGAGUGCAUUUAAAUUAGAUGUAAAAAACAUUCUAGAAAAUACCGUAUAAUCAAUAUACAAAGAAUAAGAACGCACAAAAAAAAAGUAUCUAUAUACGUACAUAUAUAUAUAUAUAUAUAUAUUACAGAUGUAUCUAUAUGUACAUAAUAUUAUAGAUGUAUCUAUAUAUGUUAAUAGAAUAGCUUUUUUUGGAAAAAAAUAUAUAAUAAUAUAUUUUAAUUAGGUACACAUUAUUGGACAAAAAAAAAAAAAAAAAAAAAAAAAAAAAAAAAAAGGGAAUUAUAUAGUUAAUUAAAGGCAACUAAAUGAUUAAUUAAAUGUAAUUUAAAGAAUGUAAGAAAAGUAUUUAUUAUUAGAACAUUUGUUUAUAUUAGCGCAUAUGUAUGUAUCUAUAUAUGUGCACAUGUUUGAACAUAGACAUACUAUUUUUUUUUUUUUUUUUUUUUCAUUUUUUUUUUAUUAUUGUUUAUGAACAUAUUAUAUAUAAAUUUCCAAAACCUGUUGAAGUAGUUACAUUUGUAUUGACCUUUGAAAUAAUACCAUAUAUUAAGAAGAAAACGUGUAAAUAUACAUACACACAUAUAUAUAUAUAUAUAUAUAUAUAUCCUUGUUUUGUGCUUAAAUUAUAUUUAAGAAAACUAAACGCCUAUAUCAUACUCCUUUUUUAUUAAUUCAUUAUUUUUUUAGCAACUUUCUUUUGCUAUUUAUUUUUAUUGUUUUUUAAAUCAAUUUUAUUUUUUUUUAAAACAUUAAGUAUAGAAAGAACUGGAAUUAUUCAAUUAAAAUAAGUUAUAACAAUGUUUAGUAUAAACAUACAUCCAUAUAU